This 233-nucleotide ribosomal RNA is filed under the name uncultured bacterium. RNAcentral describes it as "partial 16S ribosomal RNA". It matches the Rfam family "Bacterial small subunit ribosomal RNA", at positions 118 to 351 of the family's 1533-position model. The record is from RNAcentral.
UGAGCAAUCUGCCCUUCUCAUCGGAAUAAGCGUUGGAAACGACGUCUAAUGCCGAAUACGACCUCCUUUCGCAUGAUCGGAGGUGGAAAGCUCCGGCGGAGAAGGAUGAGUUCGCGGCCUAUCAGCUAGUUGGUGUGGGUAAUGGCCCACCAAGGCGACGACGGGUAGCCGGCCUGAGAGGGUGACCGGCCACACUGGGACUGAGACACGGCCCAGACUCCUACGGGAGGNAG